This is a long non-coding RNA of Neofelis nebulosa (Clouded leopard), 997 nucleotides long. RefSeq lists it as uncharacterized. The record is from RefSeq and is a predicted model, not a curated record. Lineage: Eukaryota; Metazoa; Chordata; Mammalia; Carnivora; Felidae. The transcript has 5 exons.
CGGACGGCGCGCAUGCGUGCGGCCCCCGCUCCCCCGGGGCUCGUCGGCCCCGUGCGUGCGCACGCGCGCUGUCCCCCGGAGGCGUCUGGGUGUGCGGAGCGCGCGCGCGCGGCUCGGAGGCGCACCUGUGAGGUGUCCCUUGAGGAGAGGGAGGGUGGGUGCGCGGAGCCCGCGGCCUGGGGCGCUUCAACCCCUCACUUGGAAGCGCCCUGCGUCCCAGCAGAGCCGGCCGAGCCCCCCGCCCAGGUGAUGAGGAAGCCUUCGCGCCCCCUGCGCAGAUCGCCGCUGCCGCUGGACGCCGCCUCCAUUGUUUGACCACAACAAGGGCCGGAUUCUCACCCAGGAGGAGCCCGCUCUGUACUCUUUCCCGUUGCUAGUUUGUUUGUUGGUUGUCUUGCUGCAACAAAGGAGACCAGACCUGCAAAUCUAAGAGAUACAUCUCUCUGGAAGAUAAGAGAGCUUCUUCCUCGAGAUCAAAAAAGGAGACUGGAGUGAUACCCAUGUAGGGAAUCCCCUGAAGGAAGGAUUGGCACACGUGGAACCCAAGGAGCUUGCUUCCUGGGAAGGCUUCUGUCUGAUGUGUAGGAGGCAGAACGUCAUACUGACUCUUCAAGGGGAGGCUACAGGGGAUCGAGAUCAACACGCAGUAUCUCACCCUCCACCACAGGGGACACUGUGCGGUCCUUUUUCUAGAAGUGGGAAGUACGAGAUUGUUCUACAAGAGGAAGAUUCCGGGGGCUUAAAAACGCAGAGGUUUGCACCUUGGGAGCCCCUUGGAAUGUUGACAACUCAGGAUCUGAAGGAAAGUUCUGUGUUCAUGAGUUACAGAAUUCAUGUGGGAGUAAAUGUCACUUUAUGAUCAGUAAUAAUACUGAGUGAGGAGCACUAUGCAGGAAGAAACCUUCCAUAGAAAGACGGGCAGGGAGAAGCUUAGGCCAACCAUAGCCCUACCGAAUAGAGCAAGCCUGAGAUAAACUGCCAGGAUGGCCAAAUAAGA